GCCUUGGGCAGCCUGCCCCAAGUGUCAUUGCUUUGCACACAGGUCCCUCCCCUGUGCCCCGCUCCGCCACAGCACUGUCACUGGGUUUUGUGUUUCACGUGUAUCUGCUACUCUGCUGGACUAAGAAGAACUAGGGGAGAGUGUCUUCCUCACCCUUGGAUCCCAGAGGAUGCACAAGGCCUGGCCCAGAGCAGCUGCCCUUGGGCUUCCCAGAGAAAUCUUGGAGGGCUGAGUUCACAGCUUUGCUGGAGAUUCACAGCUGGAAUAAGAUGUUCAAGCAAGGAACACGAAGAGGAAUACAUCCCUUUAAUGUAAAAGUAGACUCGAUGGAGUUGUAAAGAGAAGAGGAGAAAGGAGUUUCAAGUUUCCUUUCCUGGAGAAAAUCAUCAUCUCAAGUUCGGAACAGGACAUAAUCUGAAAGCAAGUGGCUGAAGGUGGUCUGGAGUUCCCAUGUGGAGGGAAAAAAAGAGAAAAAAAGAAAUCAAAGUAAAAAAGAAGAGAAGAAAAAAAGAACAGUGAACAUAAUUAAGAAGCAACGUUAUGAAUUCAAAGACACUAUUUGCAAGUGAAAAACGAGCUUCACUGUGUUGUUUUUUAUCCCAAAGUCAACCUGAAGGAACAGCCUAACUUUUUAAAG
This is a long non-coding RNA of Bos taurus (domestic cattle), 637 nucleotides long. The record is from Ensembl. NCBI's taxonomy places the organism in Eukaryota, Metazoa, Chordata, Mammalia, Artiodactyla, Bovidae.